GUUCGUCGACGGAGGCGCGGAGGGCGCCCCCCGCGGACUGCACGCGCCUGAGGUGAGGGCUGUGGCCAGAGGAGGCCGCGGUUAGAAAGCCUCAGCCUUGACAGCCGCCACGGCGUAUCGCUAGGCCGCGACUGGUCCGCCGCGCGUGGGCGCAGCUCCCCAAGGGCAUUGUGGGUAAGGCGGCCGCGGGCCUCUGCUUCCCGGGCAGCCCUGGUGGUGGCAAAGGCAGGAUUCCGGAGAGGUGGCCCGUCCCGAGAGACGCCUGGUUUCUCCUCCGGCGUCCCCCCGUUGGCCUGCUCUGGUUUUCUCUUAGGAGUCCAUGCUUCCAGGGCUAACUCAGAACACCGAUGAGAAGCUGCAAUCAACUGAAGUGAUAGAGAAUUGGCACUAAGUAUUCUAUGUACCAUAUGAGUAAUGAUGUAGUAAUGAUGCUGCAUUUGCUUUUGCUGUUGAUGGAAAAAAUACGGUGAAGAUGCUAAAGAUGAUGUCAGAUAUUGAGCAUAAAAUGGGAUGCAGAACAAUUCUGGUAAAUGAAGGAACUUGUAAGGAGUGAUACACAGAAGAGGAAGAUGGAAUUCCAGCUCUGGGGUGGUUUGUUAUUUAUUGCUCUCAGUGACUUCGUUCCCUGAAAAUGAAAACGUUUUUAAUCUGCAUGGCG
RNAcentral lists this long non-coding RNA (658 nucleotides) under Rattus norvegicus (Norway rat). RNAcentral's name for it is "long non-coding RNA NONRATT032554". The record is from RNAcentral. Lineage: Eukaryota; Metazoa; Chordata; Mammalia; Rodentia; Muridae.